AGUUUUAGGGGAUUCAUKUAAAAUAUAACCUGCCCACUGUAUAGUAUAAAUGGCCGCGGUACUCUGACCGUGCUAAGGUAGCGCAAUCAAUUGGCUUUUAAAUGAGGUCAUGUAUGAAUGGAAUAACGGAAUUUAGCUGUCUCUUUAAUUAAUUUAUUGAAGUUACUAUGUAGGUGAAAAAGCCUACGUUUAGAAAAAGGACGAGAAGACCCUUAGACCUUAUCUUAAAUUUAGGAAAUAUACCAUUUUCUUAAAGCAGUUUUGUUGGGGCAACAUAGGAACAUUUUAAAACUUCCUUAAACGAAUUUACCGAUAGUUAUAAAAAUGAGUAAGGUACCUUAGGGAUAACAGCAAAAUAUUAUAAAUGAGUUUGUGACCUCGAUGUUGGACUAGAAAACUAAAUGGUUAGCCACUCUUUAGUAAAGUUCUGUUCGAACUGUGAUUUUCU
RNAcentral lists this ribosomal RNA (448 nucleotides) under Aldisa sp. RFJ-2009. RNAcentral's name for it is "partial 16S ribosomal RNA". It matches the Rfam family "Bacterial large subunit ribosomal RNA", at positions 1888 to 2597 of the family's 2925-position model. Lineage: Eukaryota; Metazoa; Mollusca; Gastropoda; Nudibranchia; Dorididae. The record is from RNAcentral.